AUGGGCGCAAGCCUGAUGGAGCAACACCGCGUGAGUGAAGAAGGGUUUCGGCUCGUAAAACUCUGUUGUUGGAGAAGAACGUGCGUAAGAGUAACUGUUUACGCAGUGACGGUAUCCAACCAGAAAGUCACGGCUAACUACGUGCCAGCAGCCGCGGUAAUACGUAGGUGGCAAGCGUUAUCCGGAUUUAUUGGGCGUAAAGCGAGCGCAGGCGGUUGCUUAGGUCUGAUGUGAAAGCCUUCGGCUUAACCGAAGAAGUGCAUCGGAAACCGGGCGACUUGAGUGCAGAAGAGGACAGUGGAACUCCAUGUGUAGCGGUGGAAUGCGUAGAUAUAUGGAAGAACACCAGUGGCGAAGGCGGCUGUCAGGUCUGCAACUGACGCUGAGGCUCGAAAGCAUGGGUAGCGAACAGGAUUAGAUACCCUGGUAGUCCAUGCCGUAAACGAUGAGUGCUAGGUGUUGGAGGGUUUCCGCCCUUCAGUGCCGAAGCUAACGCAUUAAGCACUCCGCCUGGGGAGUACGACCGCAAGGUUGAAACUCAAAGGAAUUGACGGGGGCCCGCACAAGCGGUGGAGCAUGUGGUUUAAUUCGAAGCUACGCGAAGAACCUUACCAGGUCUUGA
Molecule: ribosomal RNA, 622 nt
Filed under: Limosilactobacillus oris
Lineage: Bacteria; Bacillati; Bacillota; Bacilli; Lactobacillales; Lactobacillaceae
Description: bacterial SSU rRNA
Rfam family: Bacterial small subunit ribosomal RNA
Source: RNAcentral